Molecule: ribosomal RNA, 397 nt
Filed under: uncultured bacterium
Lineage: Bacteria
Description: partial 16S ribosomal RNA
Rfam family: Bacterial small subunit ribosomal RNA
Source: RNAcentral
AUACGUAGGUGGCAAGCGUUGUCCGGAAUUAUUGGGCGUAAAGCGCGCGCAGGCGGUUCUUUAAGUCUGAUGUGAAAGCCCCCGGCUCAACCGGGGAGGGUCAUUGGAAACUGGGGAAAUUGAGUGCAGAAGAGGAAAGUGGAAUUCCAAGGGGAGCGGUGAAAUGCGUAGAGAUUUGGAGGAACACCAGUGGCGAAGGCGACUUUCUGGUCUGUAACUGACGCUGAGGCGCGAAAGCGUGGGGAGCAAACAGGAUUAGAUACCCUGGUAGUCCACGCCGUAAACGAUGAGUGCUAAGUGUUAGGGGGUUUCCGCCCCUUAGUGCUGCAGCUAACGCAUUAAGCACUCCGCCUGGGGAGUACGGUCGCAAGACUGAAACUCAAAGGAAUUGACGGGG